Molecule: ribosomal RNA, 253 nt
Filed under: uncultured bacterium
Lineage: Bacteria
Description: partial 16S ribosomal RNA
Rfam family: Bacterial small subunit ribosomal RNA
Source: RNAcentral
UACAGAGGUCUCAAGCGUUGUUCGGAUUCAUUGGGCGUAAAGGGUGUGUAGGUGGCGCCGUAAGUCGGGUGUGAAAUUUCGGAGCUUAACUCCGAAACUGCAUUCGAUACUGCGGUGCUUGAGGACUGGAGAGGAGACUGGAAUUCACGGUGUAGCAGUGAAAUGCGUAGAUAUCGUGAGGAAGACCAGUGGCGAAGGCGGGUCUCUGGACAGUUCCUGAUACUGAGGCACGAAGGCCAGGGGAGCAAACGGG